RNAcentral lists this ribosomal RNA (339 nucleotides) under Nematoda environmental sample. RNAcentral describes it as "SSU rRNA". It matches the Rfam family "Eukaryotic small subunit ribosomal RNA", at positions 1300 to 1665 of the family's 1831-position model. Lineage: Eukaryota; Metazoa; Nematoda. The record is from RNAcentral.
CGUGGAGCGAUUUGUCUGGUUUAUUCCGAUAACGAGCGAGACUCUGGCCUACUAAAUAGUUGGCGCAUUGUCACUGUGCGUACAACUUCUUAGAGGGAUUUUCGGUGUUCAGCCGCACGAAAUUGAGCAAUAACAGGUCUGUGAUGCCCUUAGAUGUCCGGGGCUGCACGCGCGCUACACUGGCAAAAUCAGCGUGCUUGUCCUUCCCCGAAAGGGGUUGGUAAACCCGUGAAAAUUUGCCGUGAUUGGGAUCGGACAUUGCAAUUAUUGUCCGUGAACGAGGAAUUCCUUGUAGGGGCGAGUCAUCAACUCGCUCUGAUACGUCCCUGCCCUUUGUAC